UAAAUUACUUGGUGACAAGUAGCUGAACCAUCAGAAGUCAGCAGAGGUCAUAGUACGAUUGGGUCUAGAACUAAUCGGAAGGGC
Molecule: non-coding RNA, 84 nt
Filed under: Lysinibacillus sp. AC-3
Lineage: Bacteria; Bacillati; Bacillota; Bacilli; Caryophanales; Bacillaceae
Source: RNAcentral